GAUGAAGAACGCAGCGAAAUGCGAUACUUGGUGUGAAUUGCAGAAUCCCGUGAACCAUCGAGUCUUUGAACGCAAGUUGCGCCCGAAGCCAUCAGGUUGAGGGCACGUCUGCCUGGGCGUCACAUAUCGUUGCCCUAUGCCUAUUGCAGUGCAAUAGGAAUUUCUAGGGCGAAUGAUGGCUUCCCGUGAGCGUUGUUGCCUCGCGGUUGGUUGAAAAUCGAGUCCUUGGUAGGGUGUGCCAUGGUAGAUGGUGGUCGAGUUAGAACGAUACCGAUCAUGUGCAUGCUCCCCAAAAUAUGGCCUCUAUGACCCACACGCGUCUUUUGACGCUCAUGACGAGACCUCAGGUCAGGCGGGGCUACCCGCUGAAUUUAAGCAUAUCAAUAAGCGGAGGA
This 395-nucleotide unclassified non-coding RNA is filed under the name soil metagenome. RNAcentral's name for it is "partial contains 5.8S ribosomal RNA, internal transcribed spacer 2, and large subunit ribosomal RNA". The stretch from base 1 to 122 matches the Rfam family "5.8S ribosomal RNA", at positions 35 to 154 of the family's 154-position model. The record is from RNAcentral.